Molecule: unclassified non-coding RNA, 157 nt
Filed under: uncultured Capnodiales
Lineage: Eukaryota; Fungi; Ascomycota; Dothideomycetes; Capnodiales
Description: sequence contains ITS2
Source: RNAcentral
ACACCACUCCAGCCCAGCUGGGUGUUGGGCGUCCGCGGUUUUCGCCGCGCGCCUCAAUGUCUCUCGGCCGCGCCGACCGUCUCCCAGCGUUGUGGCAUCACAUUUUCGCUCCGGAGCUCGGCCGUCGCGUCGCCGUCGACCCAAACCAUUUCAUUAA